UCAAGCUACGUAGGGCUUAUGGUGGAUGACUAGGUGUCAGAUGGCGAUGAAGGACGCGGUAAGCGGCGAUACGCUUCGGGGAGGCGCAAACAGCCUUUGAUCCGGAGAUUUCCGAAUGGGGCAACCCCGUACGGGUCAUACCGUACGACCUUGCACUGAAUUCAUAGGUGCUUGGGGCGAUACCCGGGGAAGUGAAACAUCUCAGUACCCGGAGGAAGAGAAAACGAAGAUAUUCCCCCAGUAGCGGCGAGCGAAAAGGGAAUAGCCCAAACUCAAUCAAAUUAAGUGUGCAGGCGUUUUUGAUUGGGGGUUGCGGGGCAUUAUUGGCCGUCACUGCAUUGACGGCGCUCUGUUACAAAGUUGUUGUAUAACCGAACACUCUGGAAAGUGUGACCAUAGCGGGUGAUAGUCCCGUAGGUAAAAUACAACGAUCAGAGCCGAUAGUGUUCCCAAGUACCACUCGACACGAGAAACCGAGUGGGAAUUCGGCCAGACCACUGGCCAAGGCUAAAUACAAGCUGACAACCGAUAGUGCACUAGUACCGUGAGGGAAAGUUGAAAACAACCCAGGAAUGGGAGUGAAAUAGGAGCUGAAACCAUAAGCUUGCAAGCUGUUCGAGGCCUAUGACCCUUAAAGGGUAAUGGCUGAGAGCGUGCCUUUUGCAUAAUGAUCCGGCGAGUCAAUCUCUGAUGCAAGGUUAAGAACAAUAUGUUCGGAGCCGUAGCGAAAGCGAGUCCUAAUAGGGCGACAAAGUAUCAUGGAUUGGACCCGAAGCUGAGUGAUCUACCCAUGACCAGGGUGAAGCCUGAGUAAAAUCAGGUGGAGGUCCGAACUGGUGAUCGUUGAAAAGGUCUCAGAUGAGUUGUGGGUCGGAGUGAAAGGCUAAUCAAACUCAGUAAUAGCUGGUUCUCCUCGAAAUGUCUUUAGGGACAGCCUCGUAUAAAUAGUUGAUGGGGGUAGAGUACUCGAUGGGCUAGGGGCCUCACCAGGCUACCGAACCCAACGAAACUCCGAAUACCGUCAACCUUACUACGGGAGUGAGAACACCAGGGCUAAGCUUGGUGCUCAAAAGGGAAAAAGCCCAGACCGCCAGAUAAGGUCCCUAAUAUAUGCUAAGUGGUAAAGGAAGUGAAACCGCGUUAACAACCGGGAUGUUGGCUUAGAGGCAGCCAUCAUUUAAAGAGUGCGUAACAGCUCACCGGUCGAUUGUGGUUUUGCGCCGACAAUGAUCGGGGCUCAAGCAUAUAACCGAAUCUGCGGAUUGUACCUCUUCGGAGGUGUAGUGGUAGAGGAGUGUUCCAAACUAGGUUGAAGGCGUACCGUAAGGAGCGCUGGACGACUUGGAAGUAAUUAUGCCGGAAUGAGUAGCGAAAAAAUACGUGGAAAACGUAUUCGCCGUAAGUCUAAGGUUUCCUGGGGAAGGUUAAUCCACCCAGGGUUAGUCGGUCCUAAGUCGAGGUCGAAAGACGUAGAUGAUGGAUAAUCCGUUAAUAUUCGGAUACCGCCUAUUUCGCGUUAACAACGUAUGAGGGACGCAGGAGGCUAAGUGAGCGGGGUGUUGGAUGUCCCCGUUGGCGCAUGUAGCUCUACCGCAAGGUAGGCGAGGUGCGACGAAAGGUGAGGCUACGGCCGAUCCGAAAUUGCUGACGUCAGGCUGCCGAGAAAAUCUCAUCACGUGAGUGGAGUAGGCGACCGUACCGCAAACCGACACAGGUAGACGAGGAUCAGUGUCCUCAGGCGCUCGAGAGAACUGUUGUUAAGGAACUCUGCAAUCUAGCCCCGUAACUUCGGGAUAAGGGGUGCCUCAUUUUGUGGCGGAGCAUACGCUCCGUUGCAUCGUGGGGUCGCAGUGAAAUGGGCACCGCGACUGUUUAGCAAAAACUCAUCUCUCUGCCAAGUCGCAUCAUAAGACGACGUAUAGGGAGUGACACCUGCCCGGUACUGGAAGGUUAAAGAGAGGGGUUAUCCGUAAGGAGAAGCUCCGAACCGAAGCCCCAGUAAACGGCGGCCGUAACUAUAACGGUCCUAAGGUAGCGAAAUUCCUUGUCGGGUAAGUUCCGACCUGCACGAAUGGUGUAACGAUGGUGCCGCUGUCUCAACAACAGGCUCGGCGAAAUUGUAGCGGCGGUGAAGAUGCCGUCUACCCGCAGCUAGACGAAAAGACCCCGGA
RNAcentral lists this ribosomal RNA (2171 nucleotides) under groundwater metagenome. RNAcentral describes it as "bacterial LSU rRNA". It matches the Rfam family "Bacterial large subunit ribosomal RNA", at positions 3 to 2095 of the family's 2925-position model. The record is from RNAcentral.